This is a long non-coding RNA of Sander lucioperca (pikeperch), 193 nucleotides long. RefSeq lists it as uncharacterized. Lineage: Eukaryota; Metazoa; Chordata; Actinopteri; Perciformes; Percidae. The transcript is spliced from 2 exons. The record is from RefSeq and is a predicted model, not a curated record.
UUGCCUCUGAAUUCACUUGUUCUCUAGCCUAAUAUUGAAGGGUUUUGCUGUUGUGCAACUGCUAGGAUUGUCCAUAAUCCAUUAAUUUCAUUUUAAAUGAAGACUAUCACACUAAUGUAAUUAUUAUUUUUCAGGCAUCCAACAAGUCAUUAAAAGUUUUGAAUUUGUAAUUUUAAGAAGUGUUUUGUUUACA